RNAcentral lists this long non-coding RNA (1275 nucleotides) under Cyanistes caeruleus (blue tit). RNAcentral's name for it is "lncRNA (ENSCCEG00000003527.1)". Lineage: Eukaryota; Metazoa; Chordata; Aves; Passeriformes; Paridae. The record is from RNAcentral.
CACCAGCGCUGCGUCCGCACCAGCAGCUCAAACCUGAUGGGGCACACGUGUCACCGGUGUCACCAGUGUCACACGUGUCACCAGUGUCACCAGUGUCACCCGUGUCACCCGUGUCACCCGUGUCACCAGUGUCACCAGUGUCACCAAUGUCACACGUGUCACCCGUGUCACCCGUGUCACCAGUGUCACCAGUGUCACCAGUGUCACCAGUGUCACCAGCGCUGCGUCCGCACCAGCAGCUCGAACCUGACGGGGCACACGUGUCACCAAUGUCACCAAUGUCACCAAUGUCACCGGUGUCACCAAUGUCACCAGUGUCACCAAUGUCACCAAUGUCACCAAUGUCACCGGUGUCACCAAUGUCACCAGUGUCACCAGUGUCCACCAGCGCUGCAUCCGCACCAGCAGCUCGAACCUGCCGGUGCCACAACGCGGGGCACAUGGGGCACACGUGUCACCAAUGUCACCGGUGUCACCAGUGUCACCAAUGUCACCGGUGUCACCAGUGCCACCAGUGUCCACCAGCGCUGCGUCCACACCAGCAGCUCAAACCUGCCGGUGCCGUGACACGGGGCACACGUGUCACCAAUGUCACCGGUGUCACACGGGGCACCAGUGUCACCAAUGGCACCAGUGUCACCAGUAGCACACAGGGCACACGUGUCACCAGUGUCACCAAUGUCACACGUGUCACCGGUGUCACCAAUGGCACACGGGGCACACGGGGCAGCGGUGUCACCAAUGUCACCCAUGUCACUGAUGUCACCCGUGUCACCCAUGUCACCCGUAUCACCAAUGUCACCUGUGUCAUAUGUGUCACCAAUGUCCCCAAUGUCCCUGAUGUCCCCGAUGUCCCCGAUGUCCCCAAUGUCCCCGAUGUCCCCAAUGUCCCCAAUGUCCCCAGUGUCCCCAAUGUCCCUGAUGUCCCCAAUGUCCCCAAUGCCCCAGUGUCCCCAAUGUCCCUGAUGUCCCCAAUGUCCCCAACCAUCCCCGAUGUCCCCAAUGUCCCCGGUGUCCCCAAUCCCUCCCCGUUACCUGUGCGGGUUCUCCUCGUUGCCUUUGUCACUUUUGUGUUUCACCAUUUUGUAGUGGCCGAUGGAGACGGGCGGGCGGGAGAUCUUCAUCCCCGCCAGGCGCACCCUGAGGGGACAGCGGGGACACGGGUUGGGGACACCAGUGACACCCCAGGGUCACCACAGUGUCACCACAGUGUCACCAGUGACACCCCAGGGUCACCACAGUGUCACCACAGUGUCACCACAGUGUCACCAGUGA